GACGAACGCUGGCGGCGUGCUUAACACAUGCAAGUCGAACGGAAAGGCCCUGCUUGCAGGGUACUCGAGUGGCGAACGGGUGAGUAACACGUGGGUGAUCUGCCCUGCACUUCGGGAUAAGCCUGGGAAACUGGGUCUAAUACCGGAUAGGAGCCAUUUUUAGUGUGAUGGUUGGAAAGUUUUUUCGGUGUAGGAUGAGCUCGCGGCCUAUCAGCUUGUUGGUGGGGUAAUGGCCUACCAAGGCGGCGACGGGUAGCCGGCCUGAGAGGGUGGACGGCCACAUUGGGACUGAGAUACGGCCCAGACUCCUACGGGAGGCAGCAGUGGGGAAUAUUGCACAAUGGGCGCAAGCCUGAUGCAGCGACGCCGCGUGGGGGAUGACGGCCUUCGGGUUGUAAACUCCUUUCGCUAGGUACGAAGCUUUUUGUGACGGUACCUAGAUAAGAAGCACCGGCUAACUACGUG
This 465-nucleotide ribosomal RNA is filed under the name uncultured bacterium. Its description in RNAcentral is "partial 16S ribosomal RNA". It matches the Rfam family "Bacterial small subunit ribosomal RNA", at positions 28 to 507 of the family's 1533-position model. The record is from RNAcentral.